This 497-nucleotide ribosomal RNA is filed under the name uncultured bacterium. RNAcentral describes it as "partial 16S ribosomal RNA". It matches the Rfam family "Bacterial small subunit ribosomal RNA", at positions 28 to 507 of the family's 1533-position model. The record is from RNAcentral.
GAUGAACGCUGGCGGCGUGCCUAAUACAUGCCAGUCGAGCGAACGGACGAGAAGCUUGCUUUUCUGAUGUUAGCGGCGGACGGGUGAGUAACACGUGGAUAACCUACCUAUAAGACUGGGAUAACUUCGGGAAACCGGAGCUAAUACCGGAUAAUAUUUUGAACCGCAUGAUUCAAAAGUGAAAGACGGUCUUGCUGUCACUUAUAGAUGGAUCCGCGCUGCAUUAGCUAGUUGGUAAGGUAACGGCUUACCAAGGCAACGAUGCAUAGCCGACCUGAGAGAGUGAUCGGCCACACUGGAACUGAGACACGGUCCAGACUCCUACGGGAGGCAGCAGUAGGAAAUCUUCCGCAAUGGGCGAAAGCCUGACGGAGCAACGCCGCGUGAGUGAUGAAGGUCUUCGGAUCGUAAAACUCUGUUAUUCGGGAAGAACAUAUGUGUAAGUAACUGUGCACAUCUUGACGGUACCUAAUCAAAAAGCAACGGCUAACUACGUG